This 464-nucleotide ribosomal RNA is filed under the name uncultured bacterium. Its description in RNAcentral is "partial 16S ribosomal RNA". It matches the Rfam family "Bacterial small subunit ribosomal RNA", at positions 28 to 507 of the family's 1533-position model. The record is from RNAcentral.
GACGAACGCUGGCGGCGUGCUUAACACAUGCAAGUCGAACGGAAAGGCCCUGCUUGCAGGGUAUUCGAGUGGCGAACGGGUGAGUAACACGUGGGUGAUCUGCCCUGCACUUUGGGAUAAGCCUGGGAAACUGGGUCUAUUACCGGAUAGGAGACAUGUUUAGUGUGAUGGUUGGAAAGAUUUUUCGGUGUAGGAUGAGCUCGCGGCCUAUCAGCUUGUUGGUGGGGUAAUGGCCUACCAAGGCGGCGACGGGUAGCCGGCCUGAGAGGGUGGACGGCCACAUUGGGACUGAGAUACGGCCCAGACUCCUACGGGAGGCAGCAGUGGGGAAUAUUGCACAAUGGGCGCAAGCCUGAUGCAGCGACGCCGCGUGGGGGAUGACGGCCUUCGGGUUGUAAACUCCUUUCGCUAGGGACGAAGCUUUUGUGACGGUACCUAGAGAAGAAGCACCGGCUAACUACGUG